This 298-nucleotide unclassified non-coding RNA is filed under the name Hevea brasiliensis (rubber tree). The record is from RNAcentral. Lineage: Eukaryota; Viridiplantae; Streptophyta; Magnoliopsida; Malpighiales; Euphorbiaceae.
AGGUGAUGAGGAGGUUGAUAUUGGUGGCAAUGAGCGUCCGGUCUCAAGCUAUCCUCCUUUUGAGAUAGAAAAGGAUGCAGGUCACAAGGGCAGUAAAUGUAUCAGUUCAGGAAGUUCCAGUGACUCUGACUCUGAUAGUUCUUCUGAAAGUGAAUUUGAUGAUGCUAAAGCUUUGACUCCAGUAGCUGCAACAAAGGCUCCCGAAAACCUGGGCUGGGGAGCUCAAUUUGAUGAUAAAGCAAGUGCUGGUGAUCCGUUGGAGUUAUAUCAGUCAUGUCCAGAAUCUGUUAGUGGGUUG